GAAAUGCGAUAAGUAAUGUGAAUUGCAGAAUUCAGUGAAUCAUCGAAUCUUUGAACGCACAUUGCGCCCGCCAGUAUUCUGGCGGGCAUGCCUGUUCGAGCGUCAUUACAACCCUAAGGCCCCCGGGCCUGGCGUUGGGGAUCGGCGGAAGCCCCCUGCGGGCACAACGCCGUCCCCCAAAUACAGUGGCGGUCCCGCCGCAGCUUCCAUUGCGUAGUAGCUAACACCUCGCAACUGGAGAGCGGCGCGGCCACGCCGUAAAACACCCAACUUCUGAAUGUUGACCUCGAAUCAGGUAGGAAUACCCGCUGAACUUAAGC
RNAcentral lists this unclassified non-coding RNA (320 nucleotides) under plant metagenome. RNAcentral describes it as "partial contains 5.8S ribosomal RNA, internal transcribed spacer 2, and large subunit ribosomal RNA". The stretch from base 1 to 105 matches the Rfam family "5.8S ribosomal RNA", at positions 50 to 154 of the family's 154-position model. The record is from RNAcentral.